CGAUAGUGGACAGAGGGUUCGAUCUAGCUCAGAUUGAACGCUGGCGGGAUGCUUUACACAUGCAAGUCGAACGGCAGCACGGACUUCGGUCUGGUGGCGAGUGGCGAACGGGUGAGUAAUGUAUCGGAACGUGCCUAAUAGCGGGGGAUAACUACGCGAAAGCGUAGCUAAUACCGCAUACGCCCUUCGGGGAAAGCGGGGGACCUUCGGGCCUCGCACUAUUAGAGCGGCCGAUAUCGGAUUAGCUAGUUGGUGGGGUAACGGCUCGCAAGGCGACGAUCCGUAGCUGGUUUGGACUGACCGACCACACUGGGACUGAGACACGGCCCAGACUCCUGCGGGAGGCAGCAGUGGGGAAUUUUGGACAAUGGGGAAACCCUGAUCCAGCCAUCCCGCGUGAAUGACCGCUGGGUUGUAAAACGAAAACGGCACGGGAUAAUACCCCGUGCAACUGACGGCUGCAGAAUGGGCCUUCCGGCUAACUACGUGCCAGCAGCCGCGGUAAUACGUAGGGUGCAAGCGUUAAUCGGAAUUACUGGGCGUAAAGCGUGCGCAGGCGGUUCGGAAAGAAAGAUGUGAAAUCCCAGAGCUUAACUUUGGAACUGCAUUUUUAACUACCGAGCUAGAGUGUGUCAGAGGGAGGUGGAAUUCCGCGUGUAGCAGUGAAAUGCGUAGAUAUGGAGGACACUGAUGGCGGUGUUUCCUGGGAUAACACUGACGCUCAUGCACAGACGUGGGGAGCAAACAGGAUUAGGUGCUGUUGGUCUGUAGCACUAAACGAUCCUUUAGCUGUUGGGGCCUUCAGCCCUUGGUAGCGCAGCUAACGCGUGAAGUUGACCGCCUGGGGAGAGUACGGUCGCAAGAUUAAAACUCAAGGGAAUUGACGGGGACCCGCACAAGCGGUGGAUGAUGUGGAUUAAUUCAGUGUGCAACGCGAAAAACCUUACCUACCCUUGACAUGUCUGGAAUCCCGAAGAGAUUUGGGGAGUGCUCGCAAGAGAACCGGAACACAGGUGCUGCAUGGCUGUCGUCAGCUCGUGUCGUGAGAUGUUGGGUUAAGUCCCGCAACGAGCGCGACCUGCUCAUUAGUUGCUACGAAAGGGCACUCUAAUGCAAGACUGCCGAUGAAGCGGAGGAAGGUGGGGAUGAUGACGUCAAGUCCUCAUGGCCCUUAUGGGUAGGGCUUCACACGUCAUAUAAUGGUCGGGACAGAGGGUCGCCAACCCGCGAGGGGAGCCAAUCCCAGAAACCCGAUCGUAGUCCGGAUCGCAGUCUGCAACUCGACUGCGUGAAGUCAAGAAUCGCUAGUAAUCCUUGGAUCAGCAUGUCGCGGUGAAUACGUUCCCGGGUCUUAUUUGCCAUUCACCAAUCACACCAUGGGAGUGGGUUUUGCAGAAGUAGUUAGCCUAACCGUAAGGAGGGCGAUUACCACGGUAGGAUUCAUGACUGGGGUGAAGUCGUAACAAGGUAA
RNAcentral lists this ribosomal RNA (1471 nucleotides) under uncultured Bordetella sp. RNAcentral's name for it is "partial 16S-23S ribosomal RNA intergenic spacer". It matches the Rfam family "Bacterial small subunit ribosomal RNA". Lineage: Bacteria; Pseudomonadati; Pseudomonadota; Betaproteobacteria; Burkholderiales; Alcaligenaceae. The record is from RNAcentral.